Molecule: ribosomal RNA, 284 nt
Filed under: Epactoides helenae
Lineage: Eukaryota; Metazoa; Arthropoda; Insecta; Coleoptera; Scarabaeidae
Also listed under: 1 other name
Description: partial 28S ribosomal RNA
Rfam family: Eukaryotic large subunit ribosomal RNA
Source: RNAcentral
UCUAGCAUGUGCGCGAGUCAUUGGGACUCAAUUAAACCCACAGGCGCAAUGAAAGUGAAGGUUCGCCUCGCGCGAACCUAGGGAGGAUGGGUCCGCCNUUCGGGCGGCCGCCCCGCACUCCCGGGGCGUCUCGUUCUCAUCGCGAGAAGAGGCGCACCCAGAGCGUACACGCUGGGACCCGAAAGAUGGUGAACUAUGCCUGGUCAGGACGAAGUCAGGGGAAACCCUGAUGGAGGUCCGUAGCGAUUCUGACGUGCAAAUCGAUCGUCGGAACUGGGUAUAGG